RNAcentral lists this long non-coding RNA (219 nucleotides) under Mytilus galloprovincialis (Mediterranean mussel). The record is from RNAcentral. Lineage: Eukaryota; Metazoa; Mollusca; Bivalvia; Mytilida; Mytilidae.
CCCGGGAUAAGUUUAUUUUAAUAUUUCUGUGUUUGUUCAUUGUACUAAACUAAUAGAGAUGCAUUUUUUAGGGGGGUAGGAAGGGUCCGGAUCUCGAAAUCCAUGGUUUAAAAACACAGAAGUCCCAAGGUCCCGAAUUUAAAUAAAUAUAAAUCCCGACAUCCCGAAAUUCGAAAAAAGAAUUCCCAUAUCCUGAAAGGGUCAAUCCCGAAAUCCCGA